Molecule: ribosomal RNA, 440 nt
Filed under: uncultured bacterium
Lineage: Bacteria
Description: partial 16S ribosomal RNA
Rfam family: Bacterial small subunit ribosomal RNA
Source: RNAcentral
CCUACGGGGUGCAGCAGUGGGGGAUAUUGCACAAUGGGGGAAACCCUGAUGCAGCGACGCCGCGUGGGUGAAGAAGCGCCUCGGCGCGUAAAGCCCUGUCAGCAGGGAAGAAAAUGACGGUACCUGAAGAAGAAGCCCCGGCUAACUACGUGCCAGCAGCCGCGGUAAUACGUAGGGGGCAAGCGUUAUCCGGAUUCACUGGGUGUAAAGGGGGCGCAGACGGCGAUGCAAGCCAGGAGUGAAAGCCCGGGGCCCAACCCCGGUACUGAUCUUGGAACUGCGUGGCUAGAGUGCAGGAGGGGCAGGCGGAAUUCCUGGGGUAGCGGUGAAAUGCGUAGAUAUCAGGAGGAACACCGGUGGCGAAGGCGGCCUGCUGGACUGCAACUGACGUUGAGGCCCGAAAGCGUGGGGAGCAAACAGGAUUAGAUACCCUGGUAGUC